RNAcentral lists this ribosomal RNA (468 nucleotides) under uncultured bacterium. RNAcentral's name for it is "partial 16S ribosomal RNA". It matches the Rfam family "Bacterial small subunit ribosomal RNA", at positions 28 to 507 of the family's 1533-position model. The record is from RNAcentral.
GACGAACGCUGGCGGCGUGCUUAACACAUGCAAGUCGAACGGAAAGGCCCUGCUUUUGUGGGGUGCUCGAGUGGCGAACGGGUGAGUAACACGUGAGUAACCUGCCCUUGACUUUGGGAUAACUUCAGGAAACUGGGGCUAAUACCGGAUAGGAGCUCCUGCUGCAUGGUGGGGGUUGGAACGUUUCGGCGGUUGGGGAUGGACGCGCGGCUUAUCAGCUUGUUGGUGGGGUAGUGGCUUACCAAGGGUUUGACGGGUAGCCGGCCUGAGAGGGUGACCGGCGACAUUGGGACUGAGAUACGGCCCAGACUGGUACGUGAGGCAGCAGUGGGAAAUAUUGCACAAUGGGCGGAAGCCUGAUGCAGCAACGCCGCGUGCGGGAUGACGUCCUUCGGGUUGUAAACCGCUUUCGCCUGUGACGAAGCGUGAGUGACGGUAAUGGGUAAAGAAGCACCGGCUAACUACGUG